ACAGAAAAGAGAAAUUGUCUAGACAGAAUUGCUCAGUUAGUUAAUUUGGCCAGACCAGGGGAGACUUCUACUCUACUGACCUUUCCCCAGCUGAAGUCUGCCUUUUCUCCAAGGUCAUUUGGGACCACAGAGCUGAAAAUAAGGAGUUCUAGUUUCCUGGCAUUGCCUCAGAAAAGACUUUGGGAGCUGGCGCUGUGGCACAGCGGGUUGAAACCCUGGCCCGCAGUGCUGGCAUCCUAUAUGGACACCGGUUCUAGUCCCGACUGCUCCACUUCCAAUCCAGCUUUCUGCUAUGGUCUAGGAAAGCAGUAGCAGACAGCCCAAGUCCUUGGGCCCCUGUGCCUGCAUGGGAGACCUGGAAGAAGUUCUUGGCUCCUGGCUUCAGAUCGGCACAGCUCCAGCCACUGCAGCCAAUUGAGGAGUGAACCAGUGGAUGGUCUCUCUCUCUCUCUCUCUCGUUCUUGCUCUUGCUCUUUCAAAUAAAUAAAAUAAAUCUUUUGUUGUUGUUGUUUGUUUGUUUGACAGCUAGAGACAGUGAGAGAGAGAGAAAGGUCUUCCUUCCAUUGGUUCACCCCCUAAAUGGCCGCUACAGCCAGAAGCCAGGUUCUUCCUCCUGGUCUCCCAUGCGGGCGCAGGGGCCCAAGCACUUGGGCCAUCCUCCACUGCCCUCCUAGGCCACAGCAGAGAGCUGGACUGGAAGAGGAGCAACUGGGACUAGAACUAGUGCCCAUAUAGGAAUCCAGAGCCACAGGUGGAGGAUUAGCCAAGUGAGCCAUGGCGCCGGCCCCUAAAAUAAAUCUUAAAAAAAAAAAAAAAAAAGGAAAGACAAGACUUUGCCUAAAUCCAGCAGGCCUUAAUUUGCCUCUUCGUAUCCUAGAGAGAAGAGAGGGUCCUCCUCCUCCCAAGGCAACCCUAGUGGGAGUCAGUGGGAAGACGCUGAUCCAACCCUGCCUGCAGGACUGGAGAGGAAAGAAUCCAGGAUUCCUCAGAUCCGAUCCUGAUCCAGGCCGGGAGGGCUGCUAUCCCCAUGACUUUGGAGUCUGGGACUAUUCUCCAUUCUCAAAUCUCCCUCCUCCCAGGAUCCUCAGCUGUGAACGUAAGCCUCAAAACUUAGAGCCUUGCCCCUUCCUGAAAGAUCCUCAUUGUGUGAUUCCAUCUCUCUCCAUGUACGGUUUAGGAAAGCAGAAAGAUCCAAAUUCUAAAUUCUGUCUCUAACAUUCUUUGUCAUUCGCAGGGCAGCGCUGAUAGUCUUGGAAUAGGAGGGAGCUGGUUCAAGGUGGGAAUGGGGGAGAAGCUCACCUAAACUGGGGACGCAGGUUAUAGGGAGAAUGGUGGAGGCCAGGCUGCACAGGGAAAGCAGCCCUGGUGCUCGUUCUUCGUAUGUUCUGCUACAGCAGGAGAUGUAGGCGUUUUGGAGCAGAAAUUCCAUCUUGUGAGGUCACCAAGUUAAUGCUUUUACCUCUUUUGUGUCAGGCAGAGUGGUGAAAGGAAAUGAAACAAAGAAGGGCCUAGUGGGAGAAAGGGCAAACGCUAACCAGCCCUUUCCGAAGUCCUCCGUUUCCUUUCUCCAAGCCUCUUUCCUGGCACCUGGACAGCUUUCCUGUCCAACCACACUUGGCUGCCCACAGCCCCUCACCUCUCCCUUACUUGGCUUAGCUCCUCUUUUGGGUCUUGUUUUCUACGCUGAGCCACUACUCUAACACCUGUCCGGAGAGAUCAGGGAUAACUCCAACUUCCCAGGAACUGGACUGGGACAGGCCUGACUGAGGAGCUUGGGACCAGGAGGCAGACUUAUCACUCAGACUAAUUUUUUUUUUUUAAUAUUUAUUUAUUGGGACCCAUGUUGUGGCACAAUGGGUUAAGCUGUUAUCUGUGAUACCAGCAUCACAUAUCAGCACAGGUUCGGGUUCUGGCUUUUCGAUGUCUGAUCCAGCUCCCUGUUAAUGUACCUGGGAAAGCAGUAGAAGACAGCCCAAAUGGUUGGGCCCCUGCCACUCACACGGCGACCCGGAUGGAGUUCUGGGCUCCUGGCUUCGGCCUGGCCCAGCCUCAGCUGUUGUGAUCACUUGGCGAAUGAACCAGUGGAUGGAAGAGCUCUCUCUCUUUGAAAAUCAGAGCAACAGAGGGAGAUCUUUUAUCCUCUGGUUCACCCCCCAAAUGGCCUCAACUGGUCUGAGCCAAGACAAAGCCAGAAGUCAGAAACUCCAUCCUGGUCACCCAUAUGGAUGGAAGGUACCCAAAUACUGAGCCAUCUUCUGCUGGCUUCCCAUGCACCUGGAGAGAAGCUGGCUUGGAAGUGGAGCGGCAGGAACUCCGUCUAGCACUCCAUUAUGGGUUGGCAGAGUCACAAGCAGGGCCACAGCGCUGACCCCAUUCAGACUCAUUCUCAUCUCGCAGAUUCUUUUCUUCUUGGCUUUCUCUGCACGCCUUUAUCUCCUCUCUUUGUCAUGUCAUGUUAUACAUUGUUGCUUAAAUUGGCUUAUUCUUGAAAUGACGUUUUAAGGUUUAUUUGGAGCCAUAGAAUACAUUUGGCACAUCUUCUCAAAUGUCUGUUUUACUUUAAGAUUUAGUUGGGAAAAAAGAAUGAUUUGGUUGGGGAGAUAAACUACUUUUAUACUAAAACCAACCCAAAUAUAUUAUGCAGGAUUUAUCAAAAUUUGUGCUUUUUAGAUACAAAAUAUAAGUAACAUCAAAGACAUUUCUGGUUUGUGCUGGCUACUUUGGAAUGCUCUUGGAGCCUUAGAGAAAAAUGGUUCACUGUCCUGAAUCUUAGAAGAAAUGCUUGAGAAGCUCUACUUACAGCUGGUUCACUCCCCAAAUAGCUGCAAUGGCUGGAGCUGAGCAGAUACGAAGCCAGGAGCCAGGAGCUUCCUCCAGGUCUCCCAUGUGGGUGCAGGGGCCCAAGUACCUGGGCCAUCAUCCUUUGCUUUCCCAGGCCAUAGCAGAGCUGGAUCGGAAGUGGAGCAGCUGGGACUCAAACCAGCAGCCACAUGGGAUGCCGGCACGGCAGGCAGUGGCCCCAUCCAUUAUGCCGCAGCGCCGGCCCUUCAAUUCAAUUUUUUUAAAGAGAAGAACUAUAAAUGUUUCUGAAAAUCUGCAAGCUGGUUCAGUCCAUGGGCCUUCUGUUUGCUGUUCUGGCUUAGAGUUUCCUCCAGCUGUGCUUCAGUUCACCAACUUCUGCUAAAAUCAAGAUGCAGGAAGAGAAACAAGAAUCACAAAUGAUCUCCCUUCCCCAAUUCAUCUCCCCUCUUGCUUCGCAUUGAUCUUGGAGCACUUGUAUCAGGAAUUCCCUUCUCCAACAACAGAGCAGGCAGAGUGGCAGAAAGAGAGAGAGGGAGAGACAGGGAAUCUUCCAUCUGCUGAUUCACUACCCCAAAUGGUGGCAGUAGCCUGAGCGGGCCCAGCCAAAGCCAAGAACUCCACCCAGGUCUCCUCCAUGGCUGGAAGGGACUCAGUUCUUGUGCUGUCACCUGCUGCCUCCCAGGUGGUCCGAGGAAAGACCUCUAGGAGGGUCUGCAGUCUGUUGAGUCAGGCAGAGACCCCUGCUUCACUGCACUUCAUGUCCAUCAGCUCCUGUGUGACUGGUCUUUGCUCGCUCAGAUCCUCUCCAAUGCUCACGCCAAGCGAGAUCUUAUUUCCAGUCUUUUCUGAGGUAUCAGGGUAGCCAAGUUCCCGGGUUUGGAAUUACCUUUUUCAUGUUAAUUAAUUUCCUUUAGUUCUUUUAUUUCUUUAGUUUUCUUUCUGAGUUGUCUCAGAUCUUCCUAAACCAGAGUGGACCUCAUGAAUAAAUGAUACUCAGAACUGACUCUCCUCUAAUGGCUACGUGUCUAUGAAGGGUACAGCUUCUUAAAAAUUGAGAGGCACGUGAGAAGAGCAUGGGAAAAUAAGCCCCCAAAUAUCCACCCACUCAAGUGGGGAAACAGCUGCGCCAGCACCGAGGCAAGUGUACUUCAGCUAGUUUAUGCAGAAAACGCCCGGGGUGAGCUGGAGUUGUGCAUCGAAGGAAGCAGUGUGGAGCCUUCCGCGCCCUCACACAGCGAUGGGUUUCCUGCGGAGAAACAGCUCCAGCGGCUGCUUCCUGCCUCAGGUUUUGCUGCACUGCUCAGUGCCACAGUCACCAGUCACACGAAACUGUUAUUAAAAAUUUAGUGCGUCAGUCAAGGGAGCCACAUUUCAGAGGUAAGUAGCCAUGGGUGGUUAGUAGCUACUGUGCUGGAAAACAGAUACAGAAUGUUUCUGUCGUCAUAGAAAGUUCUAGAGGAUGGGGCUGGAUUGGGGUACUAGGGUGUCAGGAGGGGAUGCACACAUCACGGUCCCCCAAGUCUCUGAAGGGGCCAUGGUGUUAGUUAUGUGUCCUCUCCCUGCCAUUCCCUUUUCGUAUCAGGUACCAGUGGCCAGACUGUGGAUGCCAGCAGUGCUCCUGCCUCUCCGUCUCUCCGUCUCUCCAUCCCUUUGUCUUGCCCUCUGGGCGGCUCUUGUCCUUGCUCUACCCUUCAGUCCCUGGAAAACAGGCUGCAGGUAAAAACUUUUCCAUCAACUUUGACCUAA
Non-coding RNA from Oryctolagus cuniculus (rabbit), 4548 nucleotides. The record is from RefSeq and is a predicted model, not a curated record. Lineage: Eukaryota; Metazoa; Chordata; Mammalia; Lagomorpha; Leporidae.